This 59-nucleotide transfer RNA is filed under the name Limnoria quadripunctata. Its description in RNAcentral is "tRNA-Met". The record is from RNAcentral. Lineage: Eukaryota; Metazoa; Arthropoda; Malacostraca; Isopoda; Limnoriidae.
AAAUAGAUAAGCUAAUUUAAGCUAAUGGGUUCAUACCCCAAAGAUGGUCUGUCCUCUUG